UUCGUUUUUUUCUUUUUUCUUUUUUUGUUACUUAACGAUCGUGUUCAAGAUGGAAAGAAUAAUAACGAGUACGAACUUCAAGAGAGACAAGCUUUUAGCAUCGGCCUCGAGUUUGGCCGCAUCAGCGGCCGCAGUCUCGCGCCGACGCAGUUUAAUAGCCGCAGCUGUGUUUGCACCUUCGAGAAAAAAAAUGUCAUCGUUUGCCUCAGUUUCCUUAUUCUCGUACGAGCUGUUAUCGCGUUUUCUUUCAAAAUAAGAAUUGUAGGAAAUAAGAAAAAAAGAAAAAAAAAAAAAAGAAAAAGAAAAGAAAAAAAAUAAAAGAAAAAUAGAAAAUAAAAAAUAAACGAUAUGUGCGUCAUUACUUCGAAAUUCCCGCGUUGUUAAGUCGUGCCAGUGACUACCGAGGGAAUAAUUUUUUUUUUUCUUCAAUUUUCUGUGAAUAUCCGAAUAAUUAUCGAUCAUUACGGAUGAAACGAACGACUAUAAACCGACGCUAAUCGUUCCUCCUUCGAGCAAUGCACCUCGUAACUUCUCGUGAGAGAAGAUGAAAGAAAGAGAAGGAGAAAAAGAAAAAGAGAAAGAAAAAGA
This is a long non-coding RNA of Vespa crabro (European hornet), 588 nucleotides long. RefSeq lists it as uncharacterized. The record is from RefSeq and is a predicted model, not a curated record. The transcript is spliced from 2 exons. NCBI's taxonomy places the organism in Eukaryota, Metazoa, Arthropoda, Insecta, Hymenoptera, Vespidae.